Molecule: small RNA, 172 nt
Filed under: Gopherus agassizii (Agassiz's desert tortoise)
Lineage: Eukaryota; Metazoa; Chordata; Testudines; Testudinidae
Description: TUC338 (ENSGAGG00000016194.1)
Source: RNAcentral
UAGCACUAGAGACUGAAGUCCUAUAUUUAUUCCCAGAACAGAUAUAGCAUGGGUAGCAGUAGUUGCAAGCCUCUUUCAUGCUGCCCUGACAGUGUUCCUCAAAUCCCACCUAAGGGACCACAUUUAGGAAUGAGAACAUAAUUCAAGUCUUUAUGGCCUCUCCAAAACUGCU